UACGAGGGGUGCAAGCGUUGCUCGGAAUUAUUGGGCGUAAAGGGUAGGUAGGUGGUCUCGUUUGUCUGGGGUGAAAUCCUAGGGCUUAACCCUGGGCUUGCAGUGGAUACGGGCAGACUAGAGGUAGGUAGGGGAGAAUGGAAUUCCUGGUGUAGCGGUGAAAUGCGCAGAUAUCAGGAGGAACACCGGUGGCGAAGGCGGUUCUCUGGGCCUUACCUGACACUGAGGAGCGAAAGCGUGGGGAGCAAACAGG
RNAcentral lists this ribosomal RNA (253 nucleotides) under uncultured bacterium. RNAcentral's name for it is "partial 16S ribosomal RNA". It matches the Rfam family "Bacterial small subunit ribosomal RNA", at positions 524 to 776 of the family's 1533-position model. The record is from RNAcentral.